RNAcentral lists this ribosomal RNA (404 nucleotides) under uncultured bacterium. Its description in RNAcentral is "bacterial SSU rRNA". It matches the Rfam family "Bacterial small subunit ribosomal RNA", at positions 355 to 776 of the family's 1533-position model. RNAcentral also lists the same sequence under 1 other name. The record is from RNAcentral.
UGGGGAAUCUUGGACAAUGGGCGCAAGCCUGAUCCAGCCAUGCCGCGUGAGUGAAGAAGGUCUUCGGAUUGUAAAGCUCUUUUGCCAGGGACGAUAAUGACGGUACCUGGAGAAUAAGCCCCGGCAAACUUCGUGCCAGCAGCCGCGGUAAUACGAAGGGGGCUAGCGUUGUUCGGAAUUACUGGGCGUAAAGCGCACGUAGGCGGGUCGUUAAGUCAGGGGUGAAAUCCCGGAGCUCAACUCCGGAACUGCCUUUGAUACUGGCGAUCUCGAGAUCGGAAGAGGUGAGUGGAAUUCCCAGUGUAGAGGUGAAAUUCGUAGAUAUUGGGAAGAACACCAGUGGCGAAGGCGGCUCACUGGUCCGAUACUGACGCUGAGGUGCGAAAGCGUGGGGAGCAAACAGG